GCUACGGGAGGCAGCAGUGAGGAAUAUUGGUCAAUGGCCGAGAGGCUGAACCAGCCAAGUCGCGUGAGGGAUGACGGCCCUACGGGUUGUAAACCUCUUUUGUCGGGGAGCAAAGAGAGUCACGUGUGGCUCAUUGAGAGUACCCGAAGAAAAAGCAUCGGCUAACUCCGGUCCAGCAGCCGCGGUAAUACGGGGGAUGCGAGCGUUAUCCGGAGUUAGUGGGUUUAAAGGGUGCGCGGGAGGAGGGGCAAGUCAGUGGUAAAAUGGCGGGGCUAAACCCCGUACUGCAGUUGAAACUGGAACCCGAGAGUGAGCGAGAGGGAUGCGGAAUGCGUGGUGUAGCGGUGAAAUGCAUAGAGAUCACGAAGAACUCCGAUUGCGAAGGCAGCAUACCGGCGCGCAACUGACGCUCAUGCACGAAAGCGUGGGUAUCGAACAGGAUUAGAUACCCGAGUAGUC
Molecule: ribosomal RNA, 459 nt
Filed under: uncultured bacterium
Lineage: Bacteria
Description: partial 16S ribosomal RNA
Rfam family: Bacterial small subunit ribosomal RNA
Source: RNAcentral